This is a long non-coding RNA of Amblyraja radiata (thorny skate), 444 nucleotides long. RefSeq lists it as uncharacterized. The record is from RefSeq and is a predicted model, not a curated record. NCBI's taxonomy places the organism in Eukaryota, Metazoa, Chordata, Chondrichthyes, Rajiformes, Rajidae. The transcript has 3 exons.
AGAGUACAGUUUGUCAGCACAGUGUCAUGGGUAUAUGAAGAGGCAGACCAAUGCCUGUCACUAUGCUCAAAACUACUGGAAUAUCCCAUCACUGAACAGCUAAUUCCCACCCCAUUAGCAUUGUCUCAGUCACUUCUCCAUAUAUUCAUUGUUGUUCUUCACAGAGUGUCGCUGAGCUUGUGGUAAAGGGAAACCGCAGAGACAGUUCCACACUCUUCCUCAGUCUGGUGAUGGAGAAGGGUAACUGUGCCCGGUGGGUGAUGUGGGAAUCCUUUGUGAAAAUGCAGAAUGAAUUACCAAAACUGAACAAAAUACUGAAAGAAAUCCAGGAGCUCGGUCCUGAUCCAGAAGAAUACAUGAACAUCACCAGAGGUUUAACUGAAUUACCCUCUCAUAUGGAAGAUGUUCAACAGAAACACAAGGAGACUCUGCGAGCACAGACUG